UGGGGAAUAUUGGACAAUGGGCGAAAGCCUGAUCCAGCCAUGCCGCGUGUGUGAAGAAGGUCUUCGGAUUGUAAAGCACUUUAAGUUGGGAGGAAGGGCAGUAAGCGAAUACCUUGCUGUUUUGACGUUACCGACAGAAUAAGCACCGGCUAACUCUGUGCCAGCAGCCGCGGUAAUACAGAGGGUGCAAGCGUUAAUCGGAAUUACUGGGCGUAAAGCGCGCGUAGGUGGUUCGUUAAGUUGAAUGUGAAAGCCCCGGGCUCAACCUGGGAACUGCAUCCAAAACUGGCGGGCUAGAGCAGGGCAGAGGGUGGUGGAAUUUCCUGUGUAGCGGUGAAAUGCGUAGAUAUAGGAAGGAACACCAGUGGCGAAGGCGACCACCUGGGCUCAUACUGACACUGAGGUGCGAAAGCGUGGGGAGCAAACAGG
Molecule: ribosomal RNA, 429 nt
Filed under: Pseudomonadota bacterium
Lineage: Bacteria; Pseudomonadati; Pseudomonadota
Description: Proteobacteria bacterium partial 16S ribosomal RNA
Rfam family: Bacterial small subunit ribosomal RNA
Source: RNAcentral